AGAGUUUGAUCCUGGCUCAGAUUGAACGCUGGCGGCAUGCCUUACACAUGCAAGUCGAACGGCAGCACGGGAGCAAUCCUGGUGGCGAGUGGCGAACGGGUGAGUAAUAUAUCGGAACGUGCCCAGUCGUGGGGGAUAACGCAGCGAAAGCUGUGCUAAUACCGCAUACGAUCUAUGGAUGAAAGCGGGGGAUCGCAAGACCUCGCGCGAUUGGAGCGGCCGAUAUCAGAUUAGGUAGUUGGUGGGGUAAAGGCUCACCAAGCCGACGAUCUGUAGCUGGUCUGAGAGGACGACCAGCCACACUGGAACUGAGACACGGUCCAGACUCCUACGGGAGGCAGCAGUGGGGAAUUUUGGACAAUGGGCGCAAGCCUGAUCCAGCAAUGCCGCGUGCAGGAUGAAGGCCUUCGGGUUGUAAACUGCUUUUGUACGGAACGAAACGGCGAGCUCUAAUAAAGUUUGCUAAUGACGGUACCGUAAGAAUAAGCACCGGCUAACUACGUGCCAGCAGCCGCGGUAAUACGUAGGGUGCAAGCGUUAAUCGGAAUUACUGGGCGUAAAGCGUACGCAGGCGGUUAUAUAAGACAGAUGUGAAAUCCCCGGGCUCAACCUGGGACCUGCAUUUGUGACUGUAUAGCUAGAGUACGGUAGAGGGGGAUGGAAUUCCGCGUGUAGCAGUGAAAUGCGUAGAUAUGCGGAGGAACACCGAUGGCGAAGGCAAUCCCCUGGACCUGUACUGACGCUCAUGCACGAAAGCGUGGGGAGCAAACAGGAUUAGAUACCCCUGGUAGUCCACGCCCUAAACGAUGUCAACUGGUUGUUGGGUCUUCACUGACUCAGUAACGAAGCUAACGCGUGAAGUUGACCGCCUGGGGAGUACGGCCGCAAGGUUGAAACUCAAAGGAAUUGACGG
This 913-nucleotide ribosomal RNA is filed under the name uncultured bacterium. RNAcentral's name for it is "bacterial SSU rRNA". It matches the Rfam family "Bacterial small subunit ribosomal RNA", at positions 8 to 916 of the family's 1533-position model. The record is from RNAcentral.